Molecule: long non-coding RNA, 478 nt
Organism: Coregonus clupeaformis (lake whitefish)
Lineage: Eukaryota; Metazoa; Chordata; Actinopteri; Salmoniformes; Salmonidae
Exons: 3
Source: RefSeq, a predicted model, not a curated record
ACCACAUCUUCACACAGCAUCACUCUCUCUGACCUGCAAGGUGGUACUCAGUACUCUGUCACUGUCUGCACUGUGCUGGAAAAUGGAAAGCAAAGUCAACUGGUGUCAACAACCCUCACCACAGUAUUUCCUGCUCCAGACCAGCUGACUGUUGACUCAGUGGACACCACAUCAGCUGCUAUUAGUUGGAGCCAGCCACCAGGAUUGGACCAAACCCAACAUCAUUACCAGAUCUCCUACCACUGUCCAGGGACAGAACCACACAUCACUACCACAACUUCACCCAGCAUCACUCUCUCUGACCUGCAAUGUCGUACUCAGUACUCUGUUACUGUCUGCUCUGUGUUGGAAAAUGGAAAGCAAAGUCGACCUGUGUCAACAACCCUCACCACAAUACAUUUUCAGUGGUGGAAGAGACCCUCCAGAGUUGCUGCAGUGUGUGUUCUACUGGCUGUGAUCAUAGGCCUGUGGGAUUCCU